This 276-nucleotide long non-coding RNA is filed under the name Homo sapiens (human). RNAcentral describes it as "non-protein coding lnc-CBLB-12:1". Lineage: Eukaryota; Metazoa; Chordata; Mammalia; Primates; Hominidae. The record is from RNAcentral.
AUGCCUUCUAUUUAUAUUAAUAUUAUAUUAGCUUUUAUUAUGUCUUUAGUCGGGGUAAUAGUCUAUCAAUCCCACCUGAUAUUGUCCCUACUAUGCCUAGAAGGCAUAAUACUUAUAUUUAUUAUAAGUACUCUCGUAAUUUUAAAUAUACAUUUCAUGCUGGCAUCCAUAAUACCUAUUAUCCUCUUAGUUUUUGCAGCCUGCGAAGCUGCUGUAGGUUUAGCCUUACUAGUUACAGUCUCCAACACCUUUGGCCUAGAUUAUGUACAAACCUAA